CCUACGGGAGGCAGCAGUGGGGAAUAUUGCACAAUGGGGGAAACCCUGAUGCAGCGACGCCGCGUGAGUGAAGAAGUAAUUCGUUAUGUAAAGCCCUAUCAGCAGGGAAGAAAAUGACGGUACUUGAGAACGAAGCCCCGGCUAACUACGUGCCAGCAGCCGCGGUAAUACGGAGGGGGCAAGCGUUAUCCGGAUUUACUGGGGGGAAAGGGAGCGUAGACGGCAGUGCAAGUCUGGAGUGAAAGGCGGGGGCUCAACCCCCGGACUGCUCUGGAAACUGUACGGCUGGAGUGCAGGAGAGGUAAGUGGAAUUCCUGGUGUAGCGGUGAAAUGCGUAGAUAUUAGGAGGAACACCAGUGGCGAAGGCGGCUUACUGGACUGAAACUGACGUUGAGGCUCGAAAGCGUGGGGAGCAAACAGGAUUAGAUACCCCUGUAGUC
This 440-nucleotide ribosomal RNA is filed under the name uncultured bacterium. Its description in RNAcentral is "partial 16S ribosomal RNA". It matches the Rfam family "Bacterial small subunit ribosomal RNA", at positions 338 to 795 of the family's 1533-position model. The record is from RNAcentral.